Molecule: microRNA precursor, 136 nt
Filed under: Hordeum vulgare
Lineage: Eukaryota; Viridiplantae; Streptophyta; Magnoliopsida; Poales; Poaceae
Description: microRNA MIR1122
Rfam family: MIR1120/MIR1122 microRNA precursor family
Source: RNAcentral
UAAAUACUCCCUCCGUCUCAAAAUUCUUGUCUUAGAUUUAUCUAGAUAUGAAUGUAUCUAGUCACGUUUUAGUAUUUUGAUACAUUCAUUUCUAGACAAACAUAAGAUAAGAAUUUUGGGACGGAGGGAGUAGUAA